RNAcentral lists this ribosomal RNA (253 nucleotides) under uncultured bacterium. Its description in RNAcentral is "partial 16S ribosomal RNA". It matches the Rfam family "Bacterial small subunit ribosomal RNA", at positions 524 to 776 of the family's 1533-position model. The record is from RNAcentral.
GACAGAGGGUGCAAACGUUGUCCGGAAUUAUUGGGCGUAAAGAGCUUGUAGGCGGUCUGUCGCGUCUGCUGUGAAAAUCCGGGGCUCAACCCCGGACUUGCAGUGGGUACGGGCAGACUAGAGUGUGGUAGGGGAGACUGGAAUUCCUGGUGUAGCGGUGAAAUGCGCAGAUAUCAGGAGGAACACCGAUGGCGAAGGCAGGUCUCUGGGCCACUACUGACGCUGAGAAGCGAAAGCAUGGGGAGCGAACAGG